CGGCGGAGUCACCCACACUCCCUCCGCUCUCGCCCCCACAGCCACACAACCGACGGCCUCGUCUCCCACCGCCGCCGCCGCCUCUCUCUCGCACGCCUCGCCGGCACCUCUCCCUCACCCGCGUCACCGGCGCCUCUCCCUCUCGGGCCGUUGUUGCCUCUCCGUUGGCCCCAUCGUUGUCGCCCCUGACGUGCCGCGGCGCCGUGACCCGGCCUCACAGGCACGACCAGGGUGACAACAGCUCCCCGACGCCGCCGCCUUCCGCAAGGAGCGACGACAGCUCGAAGCUCUGCGGCACGGCGUGCGCUGAGCGACGCGCCGCGGGGGCACCACCGCCUCAGCCACCGGCGUGGCCGACCACCCGUCCACGUCCCCAUCGCUGCCGCCGGCCGGCCACACGACCUCACGCUCGUCCAGCUCGAAGCACGCGCUGUCGUGGCCCGCCUCCGGCUGCUUCAGCAGGCCAAGAAACCGAAACGCCCCCCACGCCCGGCGACCUCGGCAUCUCCAUGGACCGUCUCAGCAAGCGCUACCUCGCCCGGCUCCCGCAUUGCUGAUGCAAGCCAAGAAACAGGGAGUGCCGGCAGUAGUACUCUGAAUCCAUCAAUGCAACUGAAUCCAAACAUGUGAAUCAAGUUGUGGCAGUUUGUGUUCUUCACUGGUGGCAUCGUGUUUCUGACACUGAUAUUGAAUGGUUCUACCACAUAAUUUUGGCUACACGCACUUGGUAUGGACAACCUGUCAGUAACAAAGGGCAUAUUUCCUUCACAGGUGUGCAAGCCAGUUACUGGGCAAUGCUUGACGAGGGACGGAUAAAUGCAGCUACAGCCAAUAUUUUGAUGCGCUCAGUUGAUGAAGCUAUGUAUCUUGUUUCUAGCCGUCCGUUAUGCGAUUGGAACAGUUUGCAGUCCAAUGUCCAUUUCCCAAGUUACUACAGAAUGAAGGUCAACAAGACGGGGUAGAGGGUAUACCUGGACUUCCUUGGGGAUGUAGAUCAACAAGAGGUGGUAGAGGUCAACAUGAGAAGAUCAAAUAAGAACUAUUUGAUAAUGCACGUUAUUUACAAAAGCCCCAUACCUGGAGUAAUUGGGUAAUACUCGUCAAUGUUGUGACUCGGUGUGGGCACGAUUUCAGGGAUGGAUUCGUCGACAUUUAUACCCUCAUUAUGGCCUGUAACACGGUAGUUAUAUGCAAUGUUGUGUUUACACCAGAAUGAAGGUGAACAAGACGGGGUAGAGGUAAACCUGGACUUCCUUGGGGAUGUAGAUCAACAAGAGGGGGUAGAGGCCAACAUGAGAAGCCAGAGUAGAGGUCCAUUUCAAAGUAAACGUACAGGAGGACGAAGCUACCAACUGCUUACAGGAAAAGCUUGAACCUGGUCGAGCUGGGAACACUGAUAAAGAAAAGGUGUAAUUUAGCUUUGCGUAAAAUUCAGAGAAGUUGCAUAUGUAUAAAUUGUAUGAUUCACAAGUCCGAAAACCUUCAAGUGUCUUAUUGAAUGUGCUGCCGGCGGAAGCAUAAAAAAUCAUCAUACGUAUAGGAAGG
Molecule: long non-coding RNA, 1545 nt
Organism: Triticum dicoccoides
Lineage: Eukaryota; Viridiplantae; Streptophyta; Magnoliopsida; Poales; Poaceae
Exons: 7
Source: RefSeq, a predicted model, not a curated record